This 245-nucleotide ribosomal RNA is filed under the name uncultured Thermoprotei archaeon. RNAcentral describes it as "partial 16S ribosomal RNA". It matches the Rfam family "Archaeal small subunit ribosomal RNA", at positions 474 to 719 of the family's 1478-position model. Lineage: Archaea; Thermoproteati; Thermoproteota; Thermoprotei. The record is from RNAcentral.
UACCAGCUCUCCGAGUGGUAGGGAUGAUUAUUGGGCUUAAAGCGUCCGUAGCCGGCCCAGCAAGUCUUCUGUUAAAUUCAGCGACUUAAUCGUUGGGCUGCGGAAGAUACUGUUGGGCUAGGGGGCGGGAGAGGCUGACGGUAUUCCCGGGGUAGGGGUGAAAUCCUAUAAUCCCGGGAGGACCACCAGUGGCGAAGGCUGUCGGCUAGAACGCGCUCGACGGUGAGGGACGAAAGCUGGGGGAG